RNAcentral lists this ribosomal RNA (651 nucleotides) under uncultured bacterium. RNAcentral's name for it is "bacterial SSU rRNA". It matches the Rfam family "Bacterial small subunit ribosomal RNA", at positions 8 to 705 of the family's 1533-position model. The record is from RNAcentral.
AGAGUUUGAUCCUGGCUCAGAACGAACGCUGGCGGCAGGCCUAACACAUGCAAGUCGAGCGAGACCUUCGGGUCUAGCGGCGGACGGGUUAGUAACGCGUGGGAAUAUACCCUUCACUACGGAAUAGCCUCGGGAAACUGGGAGUAAUACCGUAUACGCCCUUUUGGGGAAAGAUUUAUCGGUGAAGGAUUAGCCCGCGUCUGAUUAGAUAGUUGGUGGGGUAAUGGCCUACCAAGUCUACGAUCAGUAGCUGGUUUGAGAGGAUGAUCAGCAACACUGGGACUGAGACACGGCCCAGACUCCUACGGGAGGCAGCAGUGGGGAAUCUUAGACAAUGGGCGCAAGCCUGAUCUAGCCAUGCCGCGUGAGUGACGAAGGCCUUAGGGUCGUAAAGCUCUUUCGCCAGAGAUGAUAAUGACAGUAUCUGGUAAAGAAACCCCGGCUAACUCCGUGCCAGCAGCCGCGGUAAUACGGAGGGGGUUAGCGUUGUUCGGAAUUACUGGGCGUAAAGCGCACGUAGGCGGAUUGGAAAGUAUGGGGUGAAAUCCCAGGGCUCAACCCUGGAACGGCCUUGUAAACUCCCAGUCUAGAGUUCGAGAGAGGUGAGUGGAAUUCCAAGUGUAGAGGUGAAAUUCGUAGAUAUUUGGAGGA